UUCAAGUUUUCUAAGCAAAUUUACAGUUGGGUUUGAUUUUAGGUAAACCAACCGUAAUUGUUUUACGGUUGGGUUCGAUAAAGACCAAACCUAACCGUAAAUGGUUGUGUGUAUUUUACAUGAAAAUGUGAUCUGAGCGUGCACAAGUGAGCCGGAGGAUGAAAGCGUUUCACUCUCUUUAUCAUGUCCUGAUAUACCAACACAUAGCUGAUGAUUCCUACGACUAUAUAUUCAGGGGUCGAUGGCAGCAGAACAACAACAAGCCUUGUUCUAGGAAAGGAAGAAGACGGAAAAAGUUAUCAAGGCAACAGAAAACAAAACUAAUAUAUGUAAGGAUGACGAUAAAGAGGAUAUCAGAGAAGCAGGAUUGCUGGCCUAUGUCAAGAAGUCUCCAUACAUAUGCAUUUACGUGCAGUUAGUAAAAAGUAUCGAUCAGUAUUACACUAGAGAAGAUACUUCCUACAAGGACUGUAAAUCCCAUAGAUACAUCCCCAUGGCUGUUUUUCCUUACGAAUGACCCAUCCAUUUAAAAUUUUGCAAACCCAAUGCAUCAUAAUGAGAACUACCUCAUGAACAUCCCUAAAUCGUUGAAAGGGAUAAUGAGUACUCAUCCGUAAUGCAUUAUGAUUUUCACUUGUUGUCAGUGGCUCCCGAUAGUAAUGAUAAGAAGAUGUCAGUCGAUGUCGAUGCUAGUGCGGGAGAUGAUCAGUGUUCUUCUGAAAUGAGCUUUUGUGAGAUUUGUACGGAAGCCAGAGAAAAAGGUGAGACAAAGAACAAUACUAGUAAAUGUUCUCAUUUUUCCUGUUAUGAAUGCAUCACCAAACACAUCGAAGCUAAGAUACAAGAGAACAUCAGCAUCAUUACGAUCACUUCAACCAUGUAGAUCAUAAAAGAUUGUAGCACAUAUGAGUGGGUGAAGCGACAUGCCGAUCACUUGGACCAUGUAAAUCACUAUUCAGAGACAUUCAUCACCGCUUUCCAACAGACACUCCACUCAAGGAAGCAGAGCUCAGGUUCAAAGCCAUACGGAAUAACAAGCAAUUUACUUUUCAAUUCCAUGAAAGAAAAGACAAAAAAAAAUAAUUAUGUUUCUCCUAUAAUAAAAUCCAAACUUUUCUGUAAAUAUGUAGUAUCAAGUAGCUGUUUGAUUUUGAUGUUAA
Molecule: long non-coding RNA, 1160 nt
Organism: Papaver somniferum (opium poppy)
Lineage: Eukaryota; Viridiplantae; Streptophyta; Magnoliopsida; Ranunculales; Papaveraceae
Exons: 2
Source: RefSeq, a predicted model, not a curated record